This is a long non-coding RNA of Prunus persica (peach), 3045 nucleotides long. RefSeq lists it as uncharacterized. The record is from RefSeq and is a predicted model, not a curated record. The transcript is spliced from 2 exons. Lineage: Eukaryota; Viridiplantae; Streptophyta; Magnoliopsida; Rosales; Rosaceae.
UCUGUAUACUUAUUCUAGAGACUUCAUGUAUAGGACAAAUAUACACACAUUAUAAAUAUACACAAUAUGUAAAGAGAAAUAUUGAGGCAAUGAAUAUAAAAUUCUAGCAGAGCAAUCUUCUUCCUUUUUCUGAAAACUGUCCUUCUUUCUUGUCUCCAUAAAGGAAUAUAUCCCUUCUAGUGUAAUUUCUAACAUGGUAUCAGUGCCCUAAUACCCAACGAUUAUUCUCCUACUCUUCUGGUUCUCUCCUUUCUUUCUAGCAUCCUUUUUUCACCUUUUUCAAAAGUUUUUCCUUUUCCCUCAUCUAUGGACGCCCCCCAAGACACUGUCAAUCCAAUUUCUGACCCUCAUGGGUCCUCCUCAUCCUUUUCUUCCGCUGCUUCUUCUCCCUCCUACCCACCCGUUGCUGCCCAAAACAUUUCUUCCCUUGUUCCCGUAAAAUUAUCCCAAGAAAACUACCUCUUAUGGAAGGAACUCUUCCUCCCAGUCCUCCAAAGCUAUGACAUGUUGUCUAUCAUUGAUGGAUCUGAGCCUUGUCCUCCUCAAUAUCUAACCACCCAAGAAGACUCACUCACUUCCACUACAAAUCCUGCUUUUGUCCAAUGGAUAAAACGUGACCGUCACUGCAAAAUCUGGAUAAAUUCAUCCCUUUAUGAAAAUAUCCUCCUUUACACUGUUGGUUCAUCCACUUCACGUGAGCUGUGGCUUACCCUUGAAAAACGAUUCUCUGCUACCACCAGGUCUCAUCUCCUUCAACUUAAGGCCAAAAUUCAAAAUCCCAAGAAAGGUUCUUUAAGCAUGGUGGAAUAUCUUCAGCUAGUGAAAGACACGGCUAUUAGCCUAGCUGCAGCUGGCUCCCCUUUAGAUGACAUAGACUUUGUGGCUCAUGUCUUAAGUGGUCUCCCAUCUGAUUAUGAUUCAUUUGCCACCUCCAUCAGGGUUUGAUCUGAACCCAUUACCUCUGAUGAGCUUCAUGCCCUUCUUUUGAGUGAAGAAAUUGCCCUCAGCUCAAGACUCAGCUCAUUCUCUAAGCCCACAACUCAUGUCUUUCAAACAUCCCUUUCCUCACAACCUCAAAUUUCUAAAACCAACUCCAACAAUCGUUAUUCUAACCAAGCUCGCCCAUUUUCUAACUCUUCUCACCCUAACCCAAAUCCAAACUCUCGCAACCCUCAACAACCAUUUCGUUUUUCCAAACCUCAACACACAUCCCAUCAUAACCCCAACCAUAAUCCUAUAACCCCAACCAUAAUCCUAACCCCACUCGAUCAUUUUUUUCGUCCAAAAAAUUAUUCCACUCCAAGAAUUGUUUGCCAAAUCUGCAACAAACCAGGCCAUGGGGCUCCACAUGAAAAAAUCGUCUUAACAGCUCCUAUCAAGGCCACUUUCCCUCUCCCAACCUUUCACCCUCUCACUCCACAGCUCCCUUUUACCCAUCUGCCUCAUACACCUCCACAAACCCAUCUUCCUCUACUACUUGGUAUGCUGAUUCUGGAGCCACAAAUCACAUCAUUAAUGACCUCAACAACCUCUCUAUUCAUUCUGCAUACACUGGUCCAGAGAAAGUCAAUGUUGCCAACGGUGACAGCUUAGCUAUUCAGAACACUGCGGCCCCCAGGUUUCAAAGAUCCCCACAGGCCACACCAUGUAUGCAAACUCAAUAGAUCACUCUAUGGGUUGAAGCAAGCUCCUAUAGCUUGGUAUGAGGAGCUCUACCAUUGCUUGUUAGGUCUUUGCUUUCAUUCCUCCACUGCUGACUCUUCCUUAUUCAUCAAAGCUGAUGCAACUCUCACUAUCAUUCUAGUCUAUGUUGAUGAUAUCCUCAUCACAUGAAAUUCAUCAACAUCAUGCACUCACCUCAUCAACACCCUUCACUCCAAGUUCUCUAUGAAAAACCUCGGCGAUCUUCAUUACUUUCUUGGCAUUGAGGCCCAUCGCACCCUCACAUCUAUCUUUCUCUCCCAAACAAAAUAUGUCACACACUCCUUACAAAAACAAAAAUGCUUGAUGCGAAGCCUUGUUCCACUCCUUCCUCAACCAUUAAGCUUGACACAACCUCUGGUGACCUUAUUCAAGAUCCCGUCACCUAUCGUUCCCUUGUAGGGGCAAUAUCUUACAUGGACUCAUCCUGACAUUGCAUUCUCAGUGAAUCAAGUCUGUCAACAUAUGCAUCAGCCAAUAACUCCUCAUCUCAUUACCGCCAAACGCAUCUUGCAAUAUCUUAAAGGUACACCACAGCAAGGCCUAUCUCUCACCAAAGGUUCCAUGACUCUCACAACUUUUUCAGAUACUGAUUGGGCAGGUUGUCCAAUUGAUAGAAGAUCCACCACUGGUUAUUGUGUUUUCUUUGGCACUAACCUUCUCUCUUGGAGUGCUAAGAAACAAACCUCCAUUGCACACUCCUCUACCGAAAGUGAGUAUUGUGCCCUCUCUCACAUAGCUGCUGAAAUCACAUGAUUAUGUUCUUUGCUCAAGGAUCUUCACUUCUUCCUCCUCAAACCUCAUUUCUUGCUUUGCGACAAUGUUAGUGCUCUUGCCUUAUCUCAAAAUCCCAUAUUUCAUGCUCGCACUAAACACAUUGAGAUCAAUUACCACUACGUUCGUCAACUUGUCACAAGUAACUCCAUUUCCAUUAGUCAUGUUUCCUCUCACCACCAAGUUGCUAACAUCUUUACCAAAAGCUUGUCAAAGGCCCAAUUUCGACAUCAUUGUUUCAAGCUCAUUGCUACUUCACCGCUGCUUAGCUUGAGGGGGGAUGAUAAAGUAAUACAUUCACAAGACACCCAAAAGCCCAAGGAAAAAGAGCAAACUACUCAAGACACCCAGCAGCUGUGCACUAAAGCUCAUUUGAAGGCUAAAGAGCCAGCUCGCUCCAUGCUAACGUUGAGAGGAUAUGGAUGAAUAUAGCAUAUUCCAUUUCUGUAUACUUAUUCUAGAGACUUCUUGUAUAGGACAAAUAUACACACAUUAUAAAUAUACACAAUAUGUAAAGAGAAAUAUUGAGGCAAUGAAUAUAAAAUUCUAGCAGAGCAAUCUUCUUCCUUU